CAAUGGCCAUGAGUUUGCGCAAGCUCUGGGAGUUGGUGAUGGACGGAGAAGCCUGGCAUGCUGCAGUCCAUGGGGUUGCAAAGAGUGAGACACAGCUGAGCAACUGAACUGAUGGACUGACCCUGAUACUCAGUUCUCUUUCAUUAGUCCGAUUGCCUAGACCCAGGUCCGUAUGGAAAUUCAGUUUAUAAGAGAUGACCUCUCAAGUCACUUGGGAAAAGAUGGAUGUUGCGAUAAAUGUUAUUGAAAUAACUAGAUAACCAUCUGGAAAAAGAUAAAAUUAGAUCCAUAGCCUAAACUACCAAAAUACCAAAAGAGAGAUAAAUGUAAAAAAUAAAACAAUAAAAGUAGUUGUUCAUUGAUGUAGUCAAACAGAAUACAUCGGCUUUGUAGCUGAUUUUUGGACUGGGAUUUUUUUUUCACGGUCUAUAUAGUUCCCCGUAUUGCUAAAAAUUGGGAGUUUUUUCAUUCCUUUUUGUGAGUUCCAAACAUUUUGUUAAAUUUCGUCUUCUGAUGUAACAGCUUCCAUUUUAUUUGUCCAUAUGAGUUUAUACCUUUUUCCUCCCCUAUAAUUUCAGUAAGCUCAUGGAAAGGAAAGUUAGCUAAGUGUGAUAUUUAAUUGCAUACUUAGCAGAUACCCUUUUCUUCCUCAGUUUUCCUGUCUCCACAGAGCUGAUUUUUUUCUCAUUUUUUUUAAACGGCUCUCUGUCACGAUGGAGGCUUUUUAAAUAAUUGGGACUUGUUCUCUCUUCUAAAAUAAUGGAUUAAGAAGCUGCUUGGGAAUUUUGUGUACCUGGAUGGAACAUACCUGCUCUCUGGGUUGACAUUAGGGUGCCUGGACAGGGAACCAGCUUUUCCAAGGCAGGGAGGGAUGGUAAGGAUAAGCUAGGCUGUGCUGCAAUGACAAACACCUUUCCAACUGGCACUGGCUUAAAACAACAAAGUUUAUUUCUCACAAGCUGUGUUUCCAUCAGGGGCUGUGUUCCUCAGACCACUCAGGACCCAGGCAGACAGUGGCACCAUCUGGGGGUGGGUCUGUUGUUUCAGGGGCAGAAAAAAAGAAUCUGGUGAGCCACAGGCUGUCUUUGAAUGCUUCUGUCAAGAAGUUCACAUUUCCUUGAUGCCAGAGAAGUCCCACGGCCAUGCCUCAAUCCAUUAAGAAUGUGUACUCUAAAGAGAGGCGCCAUAUUUGGGUGAGCAGUAAUGCUGUCUGGAUACAGAGGGCUCCUUGGAGAGAAACACUUGGAGUAGUUAUGGCCUGGCCAGGGGUAGGUGGAUACACACUUGGCUGGCACUCUGCUGGAUGCCAGGGGAGAAGGCAGGACAUGAUUAAGUAUUUUAUUUAUCUAUCACAGGAACGAACAGCUGGGGACUGCCAUUCGGCAGGCAAGGAACUCCUUCCUGUGACAUGCUUGGCACAGUAGGAAAACAUCAUUCCUGGCUUGCAGAGGGGAAGGGUGAAACCCUAAAACAUUUUUAAAAAUCAAAUUUUUCCUUCCUGAGCGUGAGUUAGGAAUCAAUGGUCCUUCUCACUACCCUUCCAGAAAAAUCACAGCUUCUGCAGUGAGUCUAUGUCUGUGUGAUAACUAACGCAAAAAUGCAAAAAGACGCCCCUUCCCCUUACACUCAGUGAACUGUGUGUAUCAGGGCCAGCCCGUUCCCCAAGAAUAUAGAAACAAUACCUUUCAUCCAACAGCUGGUUUUUGUUUUUGAGAAGACUACAGGCUCUUGCCGGUAAUAUGGCUUCUCUCUAGGGAGAAGGCUUAAAGUAAAAAGAACAUACAGUGAGUGUCUACAUUCCGAGGGAUCUGCGUUCAGUCCUUCUUUUGCCUUUUCUUUCUAUACACUUACAACUAUUCUAAAAAAAAAUCAAGUCUAUUUUUAAAAAAUAGUUUUUUUCAAUGGAAGGAGUUGGGGGAAAGUGUCAAGAGUUAACUAAUCAGGAACAUCCAGGAAUAGUCUUACUGUGUACAUCUAUUGAAAUUUGGCUGUGUUCUUAUUUCAGGACAGGGUCCAAGUCCUCCUCCCUGCCUCCAGGGCCUGCAUCUUGAUGGAAGUCUGCAUCCAGCGGGCAGGCAGGAACACAUCCUGAGUAGGUCUCAGUGGCGCAGAGAGGAGCGGGACCAGCAUUUGCCGUGGGCAACAACCCAGUGCUUGUCACUAGGAGCCAGGACGCAAAUGCGGGGGCAGCUACAUCCUGGAAAGGUGCCGAAGGAGAGUGAGGCACAGCCAUGUCACAUGUCCGAGACACAUGGGUGAGUGAGCAGGCAGGCCGCACAAUGUGAGCAGAAUGCUCACGUUUUGUAAAAGAGAAGUAGGUUGACAUAGUGAAACAGAAGGUGAUAUGCUGAAUAUUCACCAAGCUGCUAGCAGUGGUGAACUGAGAGAGGUGGGGACCAGGACACGUGCACUUUAUAAAUUA
Long non-coding RNA from Bubalus bubalis (water buffalo), 2422 nucleotides. RefSeq lists it as uncharacterized. NCBI's taxonomy places the organism in Eukaryota, Metazoa, Chordata, Mammalia, Artiodactyla, Bovidae. The record is from RefSeq and is a predicted model, not a curated record. The transcript has 2 exons.